ACCCGGUUAGCUCAGUCGGUAGAGCAUCAGACUUUUAAGACAGUAGUGUCAUCUGAGGGUCCAGGGUUCGAGCCCCUGAUUGGGUG
RNAcentral lists this transfer RNA (86 nucleotides) under Taphrina deformans PYCC 5710. It matches the Rfam family "tRNA". Rfam says of the family: Transfer RNA (tRNA) molecules are approximately 80 nucleotides in length. Lineage: Eukaryota; Fungi; Ascomycota; Taphrinomycetes; Taphrinales; Taphrinaceae. The record is from Rfam by way of RNAcentral.